Myotis davidii is the source of this 342-nucleotide non-coding RNA. Lineage: Eukaryota; Metazoa; Chordata; Mammalia; Chiroptera; Vespertilionidae. The record is from the annotation of a RefSeq genome assembly.
AUGCUCUGCUCUCUCCUUGCCCUUCUCCUGGGCACUUUCUUAACAGGUGUCGGAGCACAGACCAUCCAUCAGUGGCCAUCUACCAAGGUGAAGCUUAAGGGGAGCCCACUCUCCCUGGAGUGCACAGUGAAGGGGACAUCAAGCCCCAACCUAUACUGGUACCGGCAGGCUGAAGGAGGGGGCCCUCAGAUGCUCUUCUACUCCAUCACUGCUGGCCAGGUAGACUCUCAGGCGCCCGAGAACUUCGAAGCCUCCAGGCCCGAGGAUGGCUACUUCAUCCUACGUUCUAAGAAGCUCCUGCUCAUCGACUCUGGCUUCUAUCUCUGUGCUUGGAUGCUGUGA